UCAGUAAAACUCGACGCAGUGCCAGACUCGACUACACACAAGCCUGCGCUAUCAGAGGAGGAAAUGGAGAAACUCUCUAAAUCCAUUAUUGAGGAGUUUCUACACAUAAAUGAUUACAAAGAGGUCUUGCAUUGCGUGGAGGAACUGGACCAGGGCGGGAUGCAGUACGUUUUUGUUCGGGUGGGUGUGGAGACCACGCUGGAGUGAACCCAGAUCACACGUGACCACGUGGGUCAUCUGUUCCAUCAGCUGCUGCAGGCUGGGAUCCUCUCCACAUCUCAGUUUUUUAAAGGGUUCUCAGAAACCCUCGAGAUAGCAGAUGAUAUGGCGAUUGACAUUCCUUAUGUAUGGCAGUACAUAGCAGAGCUCGUUAACCCUGUGCUUCAGGAAGGAGGAAUCUCUUUUAGAUUCCUCCUUUUAGAUUUUA
This is a long non-coding RNA of Silurus meridionalis, 427 nucleotides long. RefSeq lists it as uncharacterized. NCBI's taxonomy places the organism in Eukaryota, Metazoa, Chordata, Actinopteri, Siluriformes, Siluridae. The record is from RefSeq and is a predicted model, not a curated record. The transcript is spliced from 3 exons.